This 543-nucleotide unclassified non-coding RNA is filed under the name Epicoccum nigrum. RNAcentral's name for it is "sequence contains 18S rRNA gene, ITS1, 5.8S rRNA gene, ITS2, 28S rRNA gene". The stretch from base 185 to 338 matches the Rfam family "5.8S ribosomal RNA". Lineage: Eukaryota; Fungi; Ascomycota; Dothideomycetes; Pleosporales; Didymellaceae. The record is from RNAcentral.
GUAACAAGGUUUCCGUAGGUGAACCUGCGGAAGGAUCAUUACCUAGAGUUUGUAGACUUCGGUCUGCUACCUCUUACCCAUGUCUUUUGAGUACCUUCGUUUCCUCGGCGGGUCCGCCCGCCGAUUGGACAACAUUCAAACCCUUUGCAGUUGCAAUCAGCGUCUGAAAAAACAUAAUAGUUACAACUUUCAACAACGGAUCUCUUGGUUCUGGCAUCGAUGAAGAACGCAGCGAAAUGCGAUAAGUAGUGUGAAUUGCAGAAUUCAGUGAAUCAUCGAAUCUUUGAACGCACAUUGCGCCCCUUGGUAUUCCAUGGGGCAUGCCUGUUCGAGCGUCAUUUGUACCUUCAAGCUCUGCUUGGUGUUGGGUGUUUGUCUCGCCUCUGCGUGUAGACUCGCCUUAAAACAAUUGGCAGCCGGCGUAUUGAUUUCGGAGCGCAGUACAUCUCGCGCUUUGCACUCAUAACGACGACGUCCAAAAGUACAUUUUUACACUCUUGACCUCGGAUCAGGUAGGGAUACCCGCUGAACCUAAGCAUAUCA